This 373-nucleotide ribosomal RNA is filed under the name uncultured bacterium. RNAcentral describes it as "bacterial SSU rRNA". It matches the Rfam family "Bacterial small subunit ribosomal RNA", at positions 521 to 896 of the family's 1533-position model. The record is from RNAcentral.
UAAUACGUAGGUGGCAAGCGUUGUCCGGAUUUAUUGGGUUUAAAGGGUGCGUAGGUGGUCUAUUAAGUCAGUGCUGAAAUAUCCCGGCUUAACCGGGAGGGUGGCAUUGAUACUGAUGGACUUGAGUAGAGUCGAGGUAGGCGGAAUUGACGGUGUAGCGGUGAAAUGCUUAGAUAUCGUCAAGAACACCUAUAGCGAAGGCAGCUUACUAGGCUCUAACUGACACUGAGGCACGAAAGUGUGGGGAUCAAACAGGAUUAGAUACCCUGGUAGUCCACACUGUAAACGUUGAUUACUCGAUGUUGGCGAUACACAGCCAGCGUCUUAGCGAAAGCGAUAAGUAAUCCACCUGGGGAGUACGCCGGCAACGGUG